Molecule: ribosomal RNA, 223 nt
Filed under: uncultured Streptococcaceae bacterium
Lineage: Bacteria; Bacillati; Bacillota; Bacilli; Lactobacillales; Streptococcaceae
Description: partial 16S ribosomal RNA
Rfam family: Bacterial small subunit ribosomal RNA
Source: RNAcentral
CGUAGGUAACCUGCCUCUUAGCGGGGGAUAACUAUUGGAAACGAUAGCUAAUACCGCAUAAAAGUCGAUAUCGCAUGAUAUUGAUUUGAAAGGUGCAAUUGCAUCACUAAGAGAUGGACCUGCGUUGUAUUAGCUAGUUGGUGAGGUAACGGCUCACCAAGGCGACGAUACAUAGCCGACCUGAGAGGGUGAUCGGCCACACUGGGACUGAGACACGGCCCAG